CACCACAUAGGCAUCUACAAGCCAGUUGGCCCAACACCAGUUAUUUCAUGAACAGGAAAAAAUAGAUACUCCAUUUUUCUUGGAAAGUCUGCUGGAUGAUGUUUUUCUUCAGUAAAAUAAAUGAAGGCAAAUUCCCUGAUAACUGAGACAAAUUCAGAGAGAAGAAGGAGAACUACUGAGCUGCUGAAUUUCUGACAGACAUACUUGCAAGGACUAUGAAGUUCUACUUAGCCUCUUCAAUAAACCAGACUCCAUCUGCUGUAACUGUGACUGCAUGGGGAUCAAAACCUUUGUAUUAUAAUCCUCAUAACAUGAAGCUAUGGUAACAAACAAGCAACCAUUGGUAAAAAGCCUGAUAUGUCCUUGUUGUGUGUGUGAACCACAAAGCAACCAUCACUCUUAAGGAUGUUUUUAUGUACAUCAAAUGUUCAUUGUUUCACUGGAAAAAUUGUGAUUUUGAAUCAUUUAAGAAAUCAUGUUUUAUAAUGUGUUUUAUAAUAUAGUGCAAGUCAUGAUAUAACAGAUUCCCUGCAAAAGAAA
RNAcentral lists this long non-coding RNA (540 nucleotides) under Strongylocentrotus purpuratus (purple sea urchin). RNAcentral's name for it is "uncharacterized LOC115927171". The record is from RNAcentral. Lineage: Eukaryota; Metazoa; Echinodermata; Echinoidea; Camarodonta; Strongylocentrotidae.